Molecule: ribosomal RNA, 415 nt
Filed under: uncultured bacterium
Lineage: Bacteria
Description: partial 16S ribosomal RNA
Rfam family: Bacterial small subunit ribosomal RNA
Source: RNAcentral
AAUAUUGCGCAAUGGAGGGAACUCUGACGCAGCGACGCCGCGUGAGCGAUGACGGUUUGCGGAUCGUGAAGCUCUGUCCUUGGGGAAGCAGGCGGCCAUAUAUGGCCACUUGUCGGUACCCAAGGUGGAAGCCCCGGCUAACUACCUCGCAGCAGCCGCGGUAAUACGUAGGGGGGAAGCGUUGUCCGGAAUUCUUGGUCGUAAAAGGUGCGUAGGCGGCCUUUUAAGUCAGGUGUGAAAGACCACGGCUUAACCGUGGGGUUGCAUUUGAAACUGGAGGGCUUGAGUAUCGGAGAGGGUAGUGGAAUUCCCAGCGUAGCGGUGGAAUGCGUAGAUAUUAGGAGGAACACCAGUGGCGAAGGCGACUACCUGGACGAAAACUGACGCUGAGGCACGAAAGCUAGGGGAGCAAACA